GCCGGCCUGCCAGGUUGGUGAUGGCGGUAACCGAUUUUUGAACCAAUGCAGAAUGAACGGGGACUCGACUCGAACUAGGAUCCGGUGAGCGAUGCUCCGCCAUGCGGAGAUGCCUAAAGGGUCUCGGCGGGUUCCCACGUCUACCGACGGGUUCAUUCUCGGCCCGUCACACGGCAUGUUGGGUCGGCU
This 189-nucleotide non-coding RNA is filed under the name Acidobacteriota bacterium. Its description in RNAcentral is "Acidobacteria bacterium 6S RNA". It matches the Rfam family "6S / SsrS RNA". Rfam says of the family: E. coli 6S RNA was the first non coding RNA to be sequenced, but its function was unknown until recently. It consists of 184 nucleotides that fold into an extended hairpin structure with a large single-stranded internal bulge. The record is from RNAcentral. Lineage: Bacteria; Pseudomonadati; Acidobacteriota.